UACGUAGGGGGCGAGCGUUGUCCGGAAUCAUUGGGCGUAAAGCGCGUGUAGGCGGCCCGGUAAGUCCGCUGUGAAAGUCCAGGGCUCAACCCUGGGAUGCCGGUGGAUACUGUCGGGCUCGAGUCCGGAAGAGGCGAGUGGAAUUCUUGGUGUAGCGGUGAAAUGCGUAGAUAUCAAGAGGAACACCUGCGGCGAAGGCGGGUUGCUGGGCCGACACUGACGCUGAGGCGCGAAAGCUAGGGGAGCGAACGGG
RNAcentral lists this ribosomal RNA (253 nucleotides) under uncultured bacterium. RNAcentral's name for it is "partial 16S ribosomal RNA". It matches the Rfam family "Bacterial small subunit ribosomal RNA", at positions 524 to 776 of the family's 1533-position model. The record is from RNAcentral.